AUUGAACGCUGGCGGCAUGCCUUACACAUGCAAGUCGAACGGCAGCACGGGAGCAAUCCUGGUGGCGAGUGGCGAACGGGUGAGUAAUAUAUCGGAACGUGCCCAGUCGUGGGGAUAACGUAGCGAAAGCUACGCUAAUACCGCAUACGAUCUACGGAUGAAAGCGGGGGAUCGCAAGACCUCGCGCGAUUGGAGCGGCCGAUAUCAGAUUAGGUAGUUGGUGAGGUAAAGGCUCACCAAGCCGACGAUCUGUAGCUGGUCUGAGAGGACGACCAGCCACACUGGGACUGAGACACGGCCCAGACUCCUACGGGAGGCAGCAGUGGGGAAUUUUGGACAAUGGGCGCAAGCCUGAUCCAGCAAUGCCGCGUGCAGGAUGAAGGCCUCGG
RNAcentral lists this ribosomal RNA (389 nucleotides) under uncultured bacterium. RNAcentral describes it as "bacterial SSU rRNA". It matches the Rfam family "Bacterial small subunit ribosomal RNA", at positions 29 to 420 of the family's 1533-position model. The record is from RNAcentral.